UACGUAGGGGGCAAGCGUUGUCCGGAAUUAUUGGGCGUAAAGCGCGCGCAGGCGGUUUCUUAAGUCUGGUGUGAAAGCCCGCAGCUCAACUGCGGAGGGCCACUGGAAACUGGGAGACUUGAGUGUAGGAGAGGAGAGCGGAAUUCCACGUGUAGCGGUGAAAUGCGUAGAUAUGUGGAGGAACACCCGUGGCGAAAGCGGCUCUCUGGCCUAUAACUGACGCUGAGGCGCGAAAGCGUGGGGAGCAAACAGG
RNAcentral lists this ribosomal RNA (253 nucleotides) under uncultured bacterium. RNAcentral's name for it is "partial 16S ribosomal RNA". It matches the Rfam family "Bacterial small subunit ribosomal RNA", at positions 524 to 776 of the family's 1533-position model. The record is from RNAcentral.